This 534-nucleotide ribosomal RNA is filed under the name uncultured eukaryote. Its description in RNAcentral is "bacterial SSU rRNA". It matches the Rfam family "Eukaryotic small subunit ribosomal RNA", at positions 1108 to 1656 of the family's 1831-position model. The record is from RNAcentral.
CGGGUUCCGGGGGGAGUAUGGUCGCAAGGCCGAACUUAAGGAAUUGACGAAGGGCACCACCAGGAGUGGAAUCUGCGGCUUAAUUUGACCCAACGCGGGAAAACUCACCAGGUCAGGACACGGUAAGGAUUGACGGACUGAAGGCUCUUUCUCGAUUCCGUGGAAAGUGGUGCAUGGCCGUUUUUGGUUGGUGGAUCGAUCCGUCUGGUUAAUUCCGUUAACGAACGAGACCUCGGCACUCCGAAUAGCGCGGCGGACGUCGCGGCCUCCGGGCCGUCUUCCGCACGAGCUUCUUAGAGGGACCGUCCCCCGCCGGGGAAGGAGGUGCGAGGCAACGACAGGUCUGUGAUGCCCUUAGAUGUUCUGGGCCGCACGCGCAUUACACUGACGCGUCCAACGGGUGACUCCCGACCCGAAGGGGCCGGGGAAUCCGCAAGGCGCGUCGUGAUGGGGAUUGAACGUUGCAAUUGUUGUUCACGAACGAGGAAUUCCUAGUAGGCGCGGGUCAUCAACCCGCGCCGAUUACGUCCCUGC